This 2932-nucleotide ribosomal RNA is filed under the name Klebsiella variicola. Its description in RNAcentral is "bacterial LSU rRNA". It matches the Rfam family "Bacterial large subunit ribosomal RNA". Lineage: Bacteria; Pseudomonadati; Pseudomonadota; Gammaproteobacteria; Enterobacterales; Enterobacteriaceae. The record is from RNAcentral.
GGGUUGUGAGGUUAAGCGACUAAGCGUACACGGUGGAUGCCCUGGCAGUCAGAGGCGAUGAAGGACGUGCUAAUCUGCGAAAAGCGUCGGUAAGGUGAUAUGAACCGUUAUAACCGGCGAUGUCCGAAUGGGGAAACCCAGUGCAAUUCGUUGCACUAUCGUUAACUGAAUACAUAGGUUAACGAGGCGAACCGGGGGAACUGAAACAUCUAAGUACCCCGAGGAAAAGAAAUCAACCGAGAUUCCCCCAGUAGCGGCGAGCGAACGGGGAGCAGCCCAGAGUCUGAAUCAGCUUGUGUGUUAGUGGAACGGUCUGGAAAGUCCGACGGUACAGGGUGAUAGUCCCGUACACCAAAAUACACAGGUUGUGAACUCGAAGAGUAGGGCGGGACACGUGGUAUCCUGUCUGAAUAUGGGGGGACCAUCCUCCAAGGCUAAAUACUCCUGACUGACCGAUAGUGAACCAGUACCGUGAGGGAAAGGCGAAAAGAACCCCGGCGAGGGGAGUGAAAAAGAACCUGAAACCGUGUACGUACAAGCAGUGGGAGCACCUUUAUGGUGUGACUGCGUACCUUUUGUAUAAUGGGUCAGCGACUUAUAUUCUGUAGCAAGGUUAACCGUAUAGGGGAGCCGCAGGGAAACCGAGUCUUAACUGGGCGUUAAGUUGCAGGGUAUAGACCCGAAACCCGGUGAUCUAGCCAUGGGCAGGUUGAAGGUUGGGUAACACUAACUGGAGGACCGAACCGACUAAUGUUGAAAAAUUAGCGGAUGACUUGUGGCUGGGGGUGAAAGGCCAAUCAAACCGGGAGAUAGCUGGUUCUCCCCGAAAGCUAUUUAGGUAGCGCCUCGUGAAUUCAUCUUCGGGGGUAGAGCACUGUUUCGGCUAGGGGGUCAUCCCGACUUACCAACCCGAUGCAAACUACGAAUACCGAAGAAUGUUAUCACGGGAGACACACGGCGGGUGCUAACGUCCGUCGUGAAGAGGGAAACAACCCAGACCGCCAGCUAAGGUCCCAAAGUCAUGGUUAAGUGGGAAACGAUGUGGGAAGGCACAGACAGCCAGGAUGUUGGCUUAGAAGCAGCCAUCAUUUAAAGAAAGCGUAAUAGCUCACUGGUCGAGUCGGCCUGCGCGGAAGAUGUAACGGGGCUAAACCAUGCACCGAAGCUGCGGCAGCGACGCUUAUGCGUUGUUGGGUAGGGGAGCGUUCUGUAAGCCUGCGAAGGUGGCCUGUGAGGGCUGCUGGAGGUAUCAGAAGUGCGAAUGCUGACAUAAGUAACGAUAAAGCGGGUGAAAAGCCCGCUCGCCGGAAGACCAAGGGUUCCUGUCCAACGUUAAUCGGGGCAGGGUGAGUCGACCCCUAAGGCGAGGCCGAAAGGCGUAGUCGAUGGGAAACAGGUUAAUAUUCCUGUACUUGGUGUUACUGCGAAGGGGGGACGGAGAAGGCUAUGUUAGCCGGGCGACGGUUGUCCCGGUUUAAGCAUGUAGGCGGAGGUUCCAGGUAAAUCCGGUACCUUUUAACGCUGAGGUGUGAUGACGAGGCACUACGGUGCUGAAGUAACAAAUGCCCUGCUUCCAGGAAAAGCCUCUAAGCAUCAGGUAACAUUAAAUCGUACCCCAAACCGACACAGGUGGUCAGGUAGAGAAUACCAAGGCGCUUGAGAGAACUCGGGUGAAGGAACUAGGCAAAAUGGUGCCGUAACUUCGGGAGAAGGCACGCUGGUGUGUAGGUGAAGUCCCUGCGGAUGGAGCUGAGACCAGUCGAAGAUACCAGCUGGCUGCAACUGUUUAUUAAAAACACAGCACUGUGCAAACACGAAAGUGGACGUAUACGGUGUGACGCCUGCCCGGUGCCGGAAGGUUAAUUGAUGGGGUUAUCCGUAAGGAGAAGCUCUUGAUCGAAGCCCCGGUAAACGGCGGCCGUAACUAUAACGGUCCUAAGGUAGCGAAAUUCCUUGUCGGGUAAGUUCCGACCUGCACGAAUGGCGUAAUGAUGGCCAGGCUGUCUCCACCCGAGACUCAGUGAAAUUGAACUCGCUGUGAAGAUGCAGUGUACCCGCGGCAAGACGGAAAGACCCCGUGAACCUUUACUAUAGCUUGACACUGAACAUUGAGCCUUGAUGUGUAGGAUAGGUGGGAGGCUUUGAAGCGUGGACGCCAGUCUGCGUGGAGCCAACCUUGAAAUACCACCCUUUAAUGUUUGAUGUUCUAACGUUGGCCCCUUAUCGGGGUUGCGGACAGUGUCUGGUGGGUAGUUUGACUGGGGCGGUCUCCUCCCAAAGAGUAACGGAGGAGCACGAAGGUUAGCUAAUCCUGGUCGGACAUCAGGAGGUUAGUGCAAUGGCAUAAGCUAGCUUGACUGCGAGCGUGACGGCGCGAGCAGGUGCGAAAGCAGGUCAUAGUGAUCCGGUGGUUCUGAAUGGAAGGGCCAUCGCUCAACGGAUAAAAGGUACUCCGGGGAUAACAGGCUGAUACCGCCCAAGAGUUCAUAUCGACGGCGGUGUUUGGCACCUCGAUGUCGGCUCAUCACAUCCUGGGGCUGAAGUAGGUCCCAAGGGUAUGGCUGUUCGCCAUUUAAAGUGGUACGCGAGCUGGGUUUAGAACGUCGUGAGACAGUUCGGUCCCUAUCUGCCGUGGGCGCUGGAGAAUUGAGGGGGGCUGCUCCUAGUACGAGAGGACCGGAGUGGACGCAUCACUGGUGUUCGGGUUGUCAUGCCAAUGGCACUGCCCGGUAGCUAAAUGCGGAAGAGAUAAGUGCUGAAAGCAUCUAAGCACGAAACUUGCCCCGAGAUGAGUUCUCCCUGAGACUUUAAGUCUCCUGAAGGAACGUUGAAGACGACGACGUUGAUAGGCCGGGUGUGUAAGCGCAGCGAUGCGUUGAGCUAACCGGUACUAAUGAACCGUGAGGCUUAACCUUACAACGCCGAAGCUGUU